AUUGAACGCUGGCGGCAUGCUUUACACAUGCAAGUCGAACGGCAGCGGGGCUUCGGCCCGCCGGCGAGUGGCGAACGGGUGAGUAAUGCAUCGGAACGUGCCCAGUCGUGGGGGAUAACACAUCGAAAGAUGUGCUAAUACCGCAUACGUCCUGAGGGAGAAAGCGGGGGAUCUUCGGACCUCGCGCGAUUGGAGCGGCCGAUGUCGGAUUAGCUAGUUGGUGGGGUAAAAGCCCACCAAGGCGACGAUCCGUAGCGGGUCUGAGAGGAUGAUCCGCCACACUGGGACUGAGACACGGCCCAGACUCCUACGGGAGGCAGCAGUGGGGAAUUUUGGACAAUGGGGGUAACCCUGAUCCAGCCAUGCCGCGUGAGUG
This 376-nucleotide ribosomal RNA is filed under the name uncultured bacterium. Its description in RNAcentral is "bacterial SSU rRNA". It matches the Rfam family "Bacterial small subunit ribosomal RNA", at positions 28 to 407 of the family's 1533-position model. The record is from RNAcentral.